AAAUAAUUAAAAAUAAUAAUUAUGCAUCGUGUUGGGCGACCUAUAGUAUAACAGAGAUGCGCCAAUGAUCACGUGAUUGCGAUAUUUUGCUGAUUGGUCAGAGUAAAUUGUAUAAACGUAGCCGCUGCCAUGUUGAAUUUCUCGCUGCCAUGUUGAAUCUGUCACUAUCUUUCAUACAAAAUUUACCAUGCCAACCAAUUGUGCUGCAAAUCGCUGUACGAACAACAGCAACAAAGGUUAUGUAGUAUUUAAUUUCCCAGCAAAUGCAGAUUGUCGUAAGAAAUGGAUAGCUGCUCUUUCAAAGAACCCCGAUUGGUGACCCACAGCUUCGCAAAGAAUUUGUGAGAAGGCACCGAACCAAAUUUACUUGUUUACGUUCAGCAACAAAUUCAAUUUCCGAUGGCGUGAAAUGUACCUAUGGGAAGAAAAUCACAAAAUGUUUUGAGUUUAACAGUAAGUUACAUUGUGUUAUUAAUGUCUUAUAUUAUGUUAUUUUCCGAAGUGCAAAGUCAAAGCAUACUGCACAUUACUACUAACCUCGCAAACUUUUUGAGAACUACUAGGUGUCCAAUUCUUGCCUCUUCCAACCGCAGCAAUCCAUUUUUGUUUACCCUUUAUCACUCCUGUUGGAACACCUAUAUGCAUUGCAACUGGAUGGCAUAGCGAGUGGUAAUGCUGUCUGUAAUACAAAGAACACAAUAAAUAACUUGACAAAGAAAUCAGCGUCGCCAAAUCAAGAGAUACUGUAAUAUUUCUUAUAGAAAACAAGAAUAAACAGUAAAUAUAUUGUUUCAAUAUAUUUCUCGAAUGCAACUGA
Molecule: long non-coding RNA, 817 nt
Filed under: Ooceraea biroi (clonal raider ant)
Lineage: Eukaryota; Metazoa; Arthropoda; Insecta; Hymenoptera; Formicidae
Description: uncharacterized LOC105276640, transcript variant X1
Source: RNAcentral